CCUACGGGAGGCAGCAGUAAGGAAUAUUGGACAAUGCUCGCAAGAGUGAUCCAGCCAUGCCGCGUGCAGGAAGAAUGCCCUAUGGGUAGUAAACUGCUUUUGAACUAGAGAAAACCCCAGUACGUGUACUGGGCUGAUAGUAUAGUUAGAAUAAGCAUCGGCUAACUUCGUGCCAGCAGCCGCGGUAAGACGAAGGAUGCAAGCGUUAUCCGGAUUCAUUGGGUUUAAAGGGAGCGUAGGUGGACUGAUAAGUCAGUGGUGAAAUCUCCGAGCUUAACUCGGAAAUUGCCAUUGAUACUGUUGGUCUUGAGUACAGUUGCUGUGGGCGGAAUAUGACAUGUAGUGGUGAAAUACAUAGAGAUGUCAUAGAACACCGAUUGCGAAGGCAGCUCACAAAGCUGUAACUGACACUGAGGCUCGAAAGUGCGGGGAUCAAACAGGAUUAGAUACCCUGGUAGUCCGCACCGUAAACGAUGAUUACUCGCUGCUAGGGGGCAACCUUUAGUGGCUUAGCGAAAGCGAUAAGUAAUCCACCUGGGGAGUACGCCGGCAACGGUGAAACGUANAAGAGUAGUAGACGNGNGAGAGCGACGGAGCACGAGGAGGGUUAGAGG
RNAcentral lists this ribosomal RNA (614 nucleotides) under uncultured bacterium. RNAcentral describes it as "bacterial SSU rRNA". It matches the Rfam family "Bacterial small subunit ribosomal RNA", at positions 338 to 956 of the family's 1533-position model. The record is from RNAcentral.